CCUACGGGAGGCUGCAGUGAGGAAUAUUGGUCAAUGGACGAGAGUCUGAACCAGCCAAGUAGCGUGAAGGAUGACUGCCCUAUGGGUUGUAAACUUCUUUUAUAUGGGAAUAAAAUGUUCCACGUGUGGGAUUUUGUAUGUACCAUAUGAAUAAGGAUCGGCUAACUCCGUGCCAGCAGCCGCGGUAAUACGGAGGAUCCGAGCGUUAUCCGGAUUUAUUGGGUUUAAAGGGAGCGUAGGUGGAUUGUUAAGUCAGUUGUGAAAGUUUGCGGCUCAACCGUAAAAUUGCAGUUGAAACUGGCAGUCUUGAGUGCAGUAGAGGUGGGCGGAAUUCGUGGUGUAGCGGUGAAAUGCUUAGAUAUAACGAAGAACUCCGAUUGCGAAGGCAGUUCACUGGACUGCAACUGACGCUGAGGCUCGAAAGUGUGGGUAUCAAACAGGAUUAGAUACCCGAGUAGUC
This 460-nucleotide ribosomal RNA is filed under the name uncultured bacterium. Its description in RNAcentral is "partial 16S ribosomal RNA". It matches the Rfam family "Bacterial small subunit ribosomal RNA", at positions 338 to 795 of the family's 1533-position model. The record is from RNAcentral.